RNAcentral lists this transfer RNA (90 nucleotides) under Janthinobacterium sp. HH100. RNAcentral describes it as "tRNA-Sec". The record is from RNAcentral. Lineage: Bacteria; Pseudomonadati; Pseudomonadota; Betaproteobacteria; Burkholderiales; Oxalobacteraceae. RNAcentral also lists the same sequence under 3 other names.
UGUCGCAAUAGCGGAACAGGGGCGCCGUCAUGCCCGCUUCAGCCAGGCGGCGGCACAGGGCCUCGCUCGCUUCCACGGCGAUGUCGACAA